Molecule: ribosomal RNA, 444 nt
Filed under: Staphylococcus aureus
Lineage: Bacteria; Bacillati; Bacillota; Bacilli; Caryophanales; Staphylococcaceae
Description: bacterial SSU rRNA
Rfam family: Bacterial small subunit ribosomal RNA
Source: RNAcentral
GCAACGAGCGCAACCCUUAAGCUUAGUUGCCAUCAUUAAGUUGGGCACUCUAAGUUGACUGCCGGUGACAAACCGGAGGAAGGUGGGGAUGACGUCAAAUCAUCAUGCCCCUUAUGAUUUGGGCUACACACGUGCUACAAUGGACAAUACAAAGGGCAGCGAAACCGCGAGGUCAAGCAAAUCCCAUAAAGUUGUUCUCAGUUCGGAUUGUAGUCUGCAACUCGACUACAUGAAGCUGGAAUCGCUAGUAAUCGUAGAUCAGCAUGCUACGGUGAAUACGUUCCCGGGUCUUGUACACACCGCCCGUCACACCACGAGAGUUUGUAACACCCGAAGCCGGUGGAGUAACCUUUUAGGAGCUAGCCGUCGAAGGUGGGACAAAUGAUUGGGGUGAAGUCGUAACAAGGUAGCCGUAUCGGAAGGUGCGGCUGGAUCACCUCCUUU